RNAcentral lists this ribosomal RNA (489 nucleotides) under uncultured soil bacterium. RNAcentral describes it as "bacterial SSU rRNA". It matches the Rfam family "Bacterial small subunit ribosomal RNA", at positions 26 to 532 of the family's 1533-position model. The record is from RNAcentral.
AGGAUAAACGCUGGCGGCGUGCCUAAAACAUGCAAGUCGAACGGAUGCUAGCCUUCGGGCUGGUGUGAGUGGCGAACGGCUGAGUAACACGUGGGUGACCUGCCCUCGAGCGGGGGAUAACUGCCCGAAAGGGUGGCUAAUACCGCAGAUGUCGCGUCUUCGUUGAUGUGACUGAACCGAUUUUAGGGUUCGAGGAGGGGCCUGCGGCCGAUUAGCUAGCUGGUGGGGUAAUGGCCUACCAGGGCAUCGAUCGGUAGCUGGUCUGAGAGGAUGAUCAGCCAGACUGGGACUGCGAACGGCCCAGACUCCUACGGGAGGCAGCAGUUAGGAAUUUUGGGCAAUGGGCGCAAGCCUGACCCAGCAACGCCGCGUGGGUGAAGAAGGCCCUUGGGUCGUAAAGCCCGUUUUCCGAAGGGUAAGGAAGUAGUGGACGGUACCCGUACGGAAGUCACGCCCGGCCGUAACUACGUACGCCGACGCGACGCCGGC